Molecule: non-coding RNA, 175 nt
Filed under: human gut metagenome
Source: RNAcentral
CUUUUGUCGGCUGAAAAGGGAAUCGGGUGAAAAUCCCGAACAGACCCGCUGCUGUAAUGCUCACUAACAUAAGCCAGAUUCGGCAUGGAAUGCCACUGUUGCCUGUCUGUAAAGGCAAUGGGAAGGUAACCGAAUUGCAAGGCUGAGCAAAGUCAGAAGACCUGCCAAAUCAUUA